Molecule: ribosomal RNA, 253 nt
Filed under: uncultured bacterium
Lineage: Bacteria
Description: partial 16S ribosomal RNA
Rfam family: Bacterial small subunit ribosomal RNA
Source: RNAcentral
UACGUAGGAUGCGAGCGUUGUCCGGAAUUAUUGGGCGUAAAGGGUAGGUAGGUGGUAAUAAAAGUCUGGGGUGAAAUCCCUGAGCUCAACUCAGGACGUGCCUUGGAAACUUUAUUACUAGAGUGCUGGAGAGGUUCGCAGAAUUCCCGGUGUAGCGGUGAAAUGCGUAGAGAUCGGGAGGAAUACCAGAGGCGAAGGCGGCGAACUGGACAGUAACUGACACUCAACUACGAAAGCGUGGGUAGCAAACAGG